Long non-coding RNA from Triticum aestivum (bread wheat), 251 nucleotides. RefSeq lists it as uncharacterized. The record is from RefSeq and is a predicted model, not a curated record. The transcript is spliced from 3 exons. Lineage: Eukaryota; Viridiplantae; Streptophyta; Magnoliopsida; Poales; Poaceae.
UGCUUCAGGUUUGCACUUCACAUUGAGGGCCCUAGGCUCCUAUAGCUUGAAUUAGGGUGGUGCCAGUGAUUCACAAGAUCUUCCAUAUUAUCAUUAGCAAGGUGAAGUCAUUCAAGUAUUGGCCACUACUAUCUGCAUUAGCUUCGCCUCAGAAAAUAACCUUUUCACUUGGAAGGAGGAAGUAGGAGUUCUCAGUAAUGGUUAACUACAAGCUACAGUACAUGUUCUUUGAUUAACAAAGACAAAUGUCC